UUCUGCAUUCCCACCAGCAAUGAAUGAGAGUUCCUAUUGCUCCUCAACCUCAUCAGCACUUGGUGUUGUCCGUGUUCAGGAUUUUGGCCACUCUAGUAAGUGUGUAGUGGUAUCUCAUUGUUUGUUUUAAUUUGCAUUUCUCUAAUGAUUAGUGAUGUUGAGCA
Molecule: long non-coding RNA, 164 nt
Organism: Aethalodelphis obliquidens (Pacific white-sided dolphin)
Lineage: Eukaryota; Metazoa; Chordata; Mammalia; Artiodactyla; Delphinidae
Exons: 3
Source: RefSeq, a predicted model, not a curated record